RNAcentral lists this ribosomal RNA (253 nucleotides) under uncultured bacterium. RNAcentral describes it as "partial 16S ribosomal RNA". It matches the Rfam family "Bacterial small subunit ribosomal RNA", at positions 524 to 776 of the family's 1533-position model. The record is from RNAcentral.
GACGGAGGAUGCAAGCGUUAUCCGGAAUGAUUGGGCGUAAAGCGUCCGCAGGUGGCAGUUCAAGUCUGCUGUCAAAGACCGGGGCUUAACUUCGGAAAGGCAGUGGAAACUGAACAGCUAGAGUAUGGUAGGGGCAGAGGGAAUUCCUGGUGUAGCGGUGAAAUGCGUAGAGAUCAGGAAGAACAUCGGUGGCGAAGGCGGUCUGCUGGACCAUAACUGACACUCAGGGACGAAAGCGAGGGGAGCGAAUGGG